Molecule: non-coding RNA, 1612 nt
Organism: Equus caballus (horse)
Lineage: Eukaryota; Metazoa; Chordata; Mammalia; Perissodactyla; Equidae
Source: the annotation of a RefSeq genome assembly
GAGCCCCUCAGUCUCUGCCCGCCUGUGACAGCUGUGCAGAGCCCGCCUGUGACUCUGUCCUUGUGUCCUGGGCUCCCUGUCUUCGGAGCAGGACUGGAGUGUGAGAGGGUGUCUGCCCCUCCUGUCGUCUGUCCCUUUCCUUCUAAGGCCCGAGGAGGAAGGCAUGCUGCGGGCUCUCGCCCUCCUUCUAGCUUUCCUGGCUCCUGCCACUCAGGUAUCUUCCAACUUGGAAGGGACACAGAAGCCAAUCAUCCGACAGGCUGGGUCAUCUGUUCAAUUCACUUGUGAUAUUAAACAAAGUGUAACCUACGUCCACUGGUACCGAUACCAGGAGGGGAUAGCCCUACAACGACUUGUGUACUACCAUUACCAAUACUCAAGGUUGAUGACAGAUCCGGGAAUUAGUUCAGGGAAAUACCAUACUUUUGGAGGCACAGACAAGAACCGUAAUAUUGAAGUCCGAAGUCUGGAAGAAAGGGAUUCUGGUGUGUAUUACUGUGCUGUCUGGGAUACCUCAGGCUGGAUCAAGACAUUUGGAAGAGGAACUAAACUCAUAGUAACUCCCUCAGAUGUACGCCUUCCUGCAGACAUUUCCCCUAAACCCACCAUUUUUCUUCCUUCAAUUGCUGAAAUAAAGCUCCAUAAGGCUGGAACAUAUCUUUGUCUUCUUGAGAAAUUCUUCCCUGAGGUUAUUAAGAUCUAUUGGAAAGAAAAGGAUGGCAAUACAAUCCCGCAAUCCCAGCAGGGAAAUACCAUGAAGACUGAUAACACUUACAUGAAAUUCAGCUGGCUGACCGUGACUGGAAAGUCAAUGGAUAAAGAACACAAAUGUGUUGUCCAACACGAGAAAAAUAAAGACGGGGUUGACCAAGAGAUUCUUUUCCCAUCAGUGAAUGAAGUUCUCAACUCAAGUCUCCCUGAUACUCCUUCUACAGAAGCUUCCCCAGUAAAGGAACGUGAGUCCUCUGCUACUAAUACCACAAAACGUUGUCGGAAAGAUGAAAGCAACACUGUGCAGAUGCAGCUCACCAGCAUCUCUGCCUAUUACACCUACCUCCUCCUACUCGUCAAGAGCGCGGUCUACCUUGCCAUCAUUGCCCUCUGCCUGUUUAGGAGAGCAGCGGUCUGUGGUGAUGGAAAGAGUUCGUAACAGAUGGUGGCACAAUGAAGUCAACAUUUAUUCAUCAUUUUUUUGUCCCUGGAAUUGUCUCCUGAGCAUCAAGCUGGGCUUUCUCUCUGGGUUAGUGUUAUGUCAGUUCACAUGUGUACUUUUCUGUUAUGCCAUUAUUUUGUGAUGGUUUUUCAAACCGCUUGAAACAGAAACAUUUUUUCUGUAACAGCAAUGAAUUCUGCCAUUACUUAGUGGCAGGGCCCCAGGUCGUCCUUUAGCACCACUAUCUGAAUGAUCUCCAUCAGCUCCUCCAGCAACCCGAAUAACCAUGCCUUCCGAGUAGAGACGGCAUGCAGCUCUAGUCACAUCCUGUAGGGCCACGUGACCAGAUGACCACCUUGAACCCUUCCAUUUUACACAUCCUGAAGCCACCAUCGCUGUUAGUUGAAUUCCAUAUUUUGUUUUUCAUUAUAGGCACAAUAAAAAAAAGCCAAAAGUCUA